GGCGAACGGGUGAGUACAAGCUUGAUAAUCUACCCUCGUGUGGGGGAUAACUCCUGGAAACGGGAAACAAUACCGCGUAACACAACCGUACGCAUGUGCGGUGGUCAAAGAUUGAGAUGUCGCAUGAGGAUUAGUCAAGCUCCUAUCAGGUUGUUGGUGUGGUAAAGGCGCACCAAGCCAAAGACGGGUAUGGGGACUGAGAGGUUGGCCCCACACACCGGAACUGAGACACUGUCCGGACACCUACGGGUGGCUGCAGUCGAGAAUCUUCGGCAAUGGACGAAAGUCUGACCGAGCGACGCCGCGUGCGGGAAGAAGGCCCUCGGGUUGUAAACCGCUGUUAGGAGGUAGCAAUAAGCGGUAUCAUAUGCCGUGAUGAGUUAAACCCCAGAGAAAGUCACAGCUAAUUACGUGCCAGCAGCUGCGGUAAUACGUAAGUGGCGAACGUUACUCGGAAUCACUGGGCUUAAAGGGGGUGUAGGCGGGCAGGUAAGUCGGUGUUGAAAUCCCUCGGCUCAACCGAGGAACUGGCACCGAAACUAUCUGUCUUGAGGAUAGCA
Molecule: ribosomal RNA, 560 nt
Filed under: uncultured bacterium
Lineage: Bacteria
Description: bacterial SSU rRNA
Rfam family: Bacterial small subunit ribosomal RNA
Source: RNAcentral